AAACAGAGUGUAAGUUGUGCCCAACGAAUGCCAUUUAUUUAUGAUCAUUUAUUGUGCACCUUGUGUGGAGCAUGUGGAGGAUCCUGCCACAUGCUGGCCGCUUGCCGAUCAAUUUGUUUGGUAUUCGGUUUCAGGAUUCUGCUGACUGAUUUCCUGUGGUUGCCAGCUUUAAGCGCUGGCUUUGGGGUUGGGCAGGUUGAC
Molecule: long non-coding RNA, 201 nt
Filed under: Drosophila guanche
Lineage: Eukaryota; Metazoa; Arthropoda; Insecta; Diptera; Drosophilidae
Source: RNAcentral